GCACGAAGUUAGCCGUGGCUGCUUCUGGAGGUACCGUCCAAAUGGGUUACCCCAUUCCAUCUUCCCUCCCGAAAGGGGUUUACAAUCCGAAGACCUUCAUCCCCCACGCGGCGUCGCUGCGUCAGGCUUUCGCCCAUUGCGCAAUAUUCCUUACUGCUGCCUCCCGUAGGAGUCUGGCCCGUGUCGCAGUGCCAGUGUGGCUGAUCGUCCUCUCAGACCAGCUACCCGUCGAAGCCUUGGUGAGCCGUUACCUCACCAACAAGCUGAUAGGACAUGAGCCCAUCCAAGAGCGCGAUACCCACGGUAUCGCUUUCCUCCCUGAACCGAAGUCCAAAGAGCGUACGCGGUAUUAGCUAACCUUUCGGCUAGUUAUUCCCCACUCGAGGGUAGGUUACCCAUGUAUUCCUCACCCGUUCGCCGCUUUACAAACGUAUUGCUACGUCUUCUCGCCCGACUUGCAUGUAUUAGGCGCGCCGCCAGCGUUCGUU
Molecule: ribosomal RNA, 488 nt
Filed under: uncultured bacterium
Lineage: Bacteria
Description: partial 16S rRNA
Source: RNAcentral